CUGUUGCUUACAUGAAUCAGCUCUGCAAGUUUGGAGACUAAUUUUGGAAACUGCAGCUUGGGAGUGAUAAGUCCAGGUUAUAAAGACACUCCAACUGUGUGUGAGCCUGUGAGAAUGAAAAGCAGAUGCAGCUUGUUGAAAGAGAAUGGAUCCCUGUCCAUCCCAGACACUGUAACAGCUCUUGGUCUGAAAGCACGUGGGAUGAGGUCAGGAUUUUGUACACAUCACUCCAUGGAAAAUAGUGCUGUUGCCAAAGUGCUGCUGCUGGCUCUUGGACUUCUUCAUCCUCCACUUUCAAAACAGGAAUGACAUAGAAUGGGAAAGGACGUUGCCCUGAGUGAGAGACCUCACAGAGCCUGAGUCGAACACCAGCUUUGAGCCCUUUCUGAUGCUUCCCACACUGACUGCUGAAGGAGCCUACAUGAUUUUCACAAACUGUUCCCAAGGCUGACAUUACAUGAGGUGAGUCUGGGCCCUGGGGAAGCUCUCAAUGGUUUUCCUGGGCUCUCUUCAAGGCUAUCAGAAAACAAAUACAACAUUCUGGGAUGAUAUAGUUACACUUGCUUUUUGUGAACUAUUGAUAUUAGCUGUAUUUCGUGCACAGGGAAAAAGCAUUACCCUAUUCUCCCUACAUCACUGCAUUGAAAUCCUAUGGUUUUGUGUGUGGUUAAAUUUCUAAGACACUGUGGAAUGCUGUUCUCUGUUCUGUGUGGGUCAGCUGAGGCUGUCUCUAGGGGCCAGGCCAUGGUGCAGGAGGAGGUGCUCAAGGAGGAAGGAAUGUCUUUUUCCCAUUGAGAAGUAUGCUGGUGUUCUGCAGUAACACCAGCAUGCAGUUACAGCGAUGCUUCCAAUUACCUUCGUACGAGGUCUUUUUCAAUACAGCAUUUGAACAGCUCAUAAACUUCUUAGUUGUUCUUGAGAUACUUCUGUAAUGGAAACUGAGGUUCAGUGAGCUGCGUGACUUUCAUUGGGUUACAUGAGGAUUCUGAGAAACCUGGAAAUUAGUCUCUAGUCCCAGUGUUGUUCCGUAACCACUGAGCUCCCUUCUGUAGCAUUUUGGGACAAGGCUAUAAGAGCUCUGCGUGUUUCCUAAUAAAAGUUAGCAAGACUUCA
This 1113-nucleotide long non-coding RNA is filed under the name Coturnix japonica (Japanese quail). RNAcentral's name for it is "lncRNA (ENSCJPG00005020829.1)". The record is from RNAcentral. Lineage: Eukaryota; Metazoa; Chordata; Aves; Galliformes; Phasianidae.